The sequence is a ribosomal RNA, 617 nucleotides long. It matches the Rfam family "Eukaryotic large subunit ribosomal RNA", at positions 38 to 667 of the family's 3401-position model.
GCAUAUCAAUAAGCGGAGGAAAAGAAACCAACAGGGAUUACCUCAGUAACGGCGAGUGAAGCGGUAACAGCUCAAAUUUGAAAUCUGGCUCCUUCGGAGUCCGAGUUGUAAUUUGUAGAAGAUGCUUUGGGCUGUGGGCCCGGCCUAAGUUCCUUGGAACAGGACGUCAUAGAGGGUGAGAAUCCCGUAUGCGGCCGGGGCCUGCGCUCGUGUAAAGCACUUUCGACGAGUCGAGUUGUUUGGGAAUGCAGCUCAAAAUGGGUGGUAAAUUUCAUCUAAAGCUAAAUAUUGGCCAGAGACCGAUAGCGCACAAGUAGAGUGAUCGAAAGAUGAAAAGCACUUUGGAAAGAGAGUUAAACAGUACGUGAAAUUGUUGAAAGGGAAGCGCUUGCAACCAGACUUGGGCGCCGGUGAUCAUCUUGGAGUUCUCUCCGGUGCACUCGGCGGCGCACAGGCCAGCAUCGGUUUGGGUGGUUGGAGAAAGGCCGCUGGGAACGUAGCUCCUCGCGGGGAGUGUUAUAGCCCGCGACGCAAUGCAGCCUACCCGGACCGAGGACCGCGCUUCGGCUAGGAUGCUGGCGUAAUGGUUGUAAGCGACCCGUCUUGAAACACGGACC